UCCGGUUUGUCACCGGCAGUCUCCUUAGAGUGCCCACCAUUACGUGCUGGUAACUAAGGACAAGGGUUGCGCUCGUUGCGGGACUUAACCCAACAUCUCACAACACGAGCUGACGACAGCCAUGCAGCACCUGUCUCCACGUUCCUUUCGGCACGUCCGCAUCUCUGCAAACUUCGUGGGAUGUCAAGGGUAGGUAAGGUUCUUCGCGUUGCAUCGAAUUAAACCACAUGCUCCACCGCUUGUGCGGGCCCCCGUCAAUUCCUUUGAGUUUUAACCUUGCGGUCGUACUCCCCAGGCGGAGAACUUAUCGCGUUAGCUUCGAUACUAACAGGUCAAGCCUGCCAACAUCUAGUUCUCAUCGUUUACAGCGUGGACUAC
RNAcentral lists this unclassified non-coding RNA (378 nucleotides) under uncultured Gammaproteobacteria bacterium. Its description in RNAcentral is "contains 16S-23S intergenic spacer region". Lineage: Bacteria; Pseudomonadati; Pseudomonadota; Gammaproteobacteria. The record is from RNAcentral.